GUGAGGAAUAUUGGACAAUGGGCGCAAGCCUGAUCCAGCCAUGCCGCGUGCAGGAAGACGCAUCUAUGGUGUGUAAACUGCUUUUGUACGGGAAGAAACACUCCCCCGUGAGGGAGCUUGACGGUACCGUAAGAAUAAGGAUCGGCUAACUCCGUGCCAGCAGCCGCGGUAAUACGGAGGAUCCAAGCGUUAUCCGGAAUCCUUGGGUUUAAAGGGUCCGUAGGCGGUUUAAUAAGUCAGUGGUGAAAGCCCAUCGCUCAACGAUGGAACGGCCAUUGAUACUGUUAGACUUGAAUUACAAGGAAGUAACUAGAAUAUGUAGUGUAGCGGUGAAAUGCUUAGAUAUUACAUGGAAUACCAAUUGCGAAGGCAGGUUACUACUUGUGGAUUGACGCUGAUGGACGAAAGCGUGGGGAGCGAACAGGAUUAGAAACCCCGGUAGUCC
This 445-nucleotide ribosomal RNA is filed under the name uncultured bacterium. RNAcentral describes it as "partial 16S ribosomal RNA". It matches the Rfam family "Bacterial small subunit ribosomal RNA", at positions 354 to 796 of the family's 1533-position model. The record is from RNAcentral.